This is a long non-coding RNA of Nicotiana attenuata, 501 nucleotides long. RefSeq lists it as uncharacterized. The record is from RefSeq and is a predicted model, not a curated record. The transcript is spliced from 3 exons. Lineage: Eukaryota; Viridiplantae; Streptophyta; Magnoliopsida; Solanales; Solanaceae.
UAAAUUGAACCCGGGGCUCGCGAGAAGGCUCUCUUUGCAGCGGAUCCCUCCUUGAAACGCUUUAAGUCGCAUAAACAGAGUGUGCGGAACCUUAAAAGGGUGGGAGAUGUUCUAGCUAUUGUUGUUGUAGCGGGAUGUUGUUAUGAAAUAUAUGUGAGAGCUGUUAUGCGGGAAGAAGCAAGGAAGAAUGAAGAAGGAAGCGCAUAAUGGCAGAUCGUUCUGUUUUUGCAUAUUUUCACUGCCUUUAUUCUUUGAAACAUGGGGGAAAUGGGAUAAUGAAGGAUGGGUAUCUCUAAGUACAUGAAACUCGUGUUUUAACUUUUGUUUGGGGUUGGUGGUAUGAAAAUAAGGUGGUUCCAAACAGUUGAGGCUGCAUCUCAACGCCAAGAACUUUGCAUGCAAAUUUUGGUUUUAUUUGAACUUUAUGUUUGAAUGCUCUAAAGUGUAUGUGAUGCCUGGUGAGAUUUUCUCACCUUCAAUUAUAUGGUGCUUUCACUUCUA